Molecule: unclassified non-coding RNA, 213 nt
Filed under: Hevea brasiliensis (rubber tree)
Lineage: Eukaryota; Viridiplantae; Streptophyta; Magnoliopsida; Malpighiales; Euphorbiaceae
Source: RNAcentral
GGGCGGCACCAACGGCAACGGCAGCAGCAGCGGAUGAUCGGAAACGGAAAGGGAGAGAAAUGGAGGACGAAGGUCAGAAUGAGGAUGCUGAAUUUGAGUCUCCUGAUACGAAAAAGCAAGCACGCGGUUCAACAUCCACAAAGAGAUCUCGUGCUGCGGAGGUCCAUAAUCUUUCAGAAAGGAGACGUAGAGACAGAAUAAAUGAGAAGAUGA